CAGUAGCCGCGGUAAUACGAAGGGUGCAAGCGUUAAUCGGAAUUACUGGGCGUAAAGCGCGCGUAGGUGGUUUGGUAAGAUGGAUGUGAAAUCCCCGGGCUCAACCUGGGAACUGCAUCCAUAACUGCCUGACUAGAGUACGGUAGAGGGUGGUGGAAUUUCCUGUGUAGCGGUGAAAUGCGUAGAUAUAGGAAGGAACACCAGUGGCGAAGGCGACCACCUGGACUGAUACUGACACUGAGGUGCGAAAGCGUGGGGAUCAAACAGGAUUAGAUACCCCCGUAGUCCCUGUCUCUUAUAC
This 301-nucleotide ribosomal RNA is filed under the name uncultured bacterium. RNAcentral describes it as "partial 16S ribosomal RNA". It matches the Rfam family "Bacterial small subunit ribosomal RNA", at positions 509 to 807 of the family's 1533-position model. The record is from RNAcentral.